RNAcentral lists this non-coding RNA (215 nucleotides) under Dethiosulfatibacter aminovorans. RNAcentral's name for it is "T-box sequence". It matches the Rfam family "T-box leader". From Rfam's summary of the family: Uncharged tRNA acts as the effector for transcription antitermination of genes in the T-box leader family. T-boxes are found upstream of many aminoacyl-tRNA synthetase genes and some amino acid biosynthetic genes usually in Gram-positive bacteria. The record is from RNAcentral. Lineage: Bacteria; Bacillati; Bacillota; Tissierellia.
GCUAUGACUGUGAAGGAAAGCAGUAGGCUGACAUGUUUUUAAAGAGAGCUUCUGGUUGGUGUGAAGAGGCAAAACAUGCUGUUGAAUCCGUUCCCGAGUCUGCAGGGGUUGAAAAACCUGCACGUUGGAGGCGUUAACUCAUUUGAGCGACUGCAGUUAUUAUUUGCAGUAAUCAGGGUGGUAUCGCGGUAGUAUUCAAUACUCUCGUCCCUUUA